GUACAACCAGCGUCCACAUCUUGCCUCUGGCAUUUCCCUGUACGUUAGCGAUGAUCCGCAAGGUAGCAAUGGGUGUACCACCAUCCCGCGCCGGGUCCUCUGAUCAAGGGGCGCGGAUGGU
This 121-nucleotide non-coding RNA is filed under the name unclassified sequences. The record is from Rfam.